Molecule: transfer RNA, 93 nt
Filed under: Cryptobacterium sp. CAG:338
Lineage: Bacteria; Bacillati; Actinomycetota; Coriobacteriia; Eggerthellales; Eggerthellaceae
Also listed under: 3 other names
Description: transfer RNA-Ser(CGA)
Rfam family: tRNA
About the family: Transfer RNA (tRNA) molecules are approximately 80 nucleotides in length.
Source: RNAcentral
GGAAGGAUGGCAGAGCGGCUGAAUGCGGCGGUCUCGAAAACCGUUUUACCGGUACUCCCGGUAACGAGGGUUCAAAUCCCUCUCCUUCCGCCA